RNAcentral lists this ribosomal RNA (496 nucleotides) under uncultured bacterium. Its description in RNAcentral is "partial 16S ribosomal RNA". It matches the Rfam family "Bacterial small subunit ribosomal RNA", at positions 29 to 507 of the family's 1533-position model. The record is from RNAcentral.
AUGAACGCUGGCGGCGUGCCUAAUACAUGCAAGUCGAGCGAACAGACGAGGAGCUUGCUCCUCUGACGUUAGCGGCGGACGGGUGAGUAACACGUGGAUAACCUACCUAUAAGUCUGGGAUAACUUCGGGAAACCGGAGCUAAUACCGGAUAACAUGUUGAACCGCAUGGUUUAACAGUGAAAGACGGUCUUGCUGUCACUUAUAGAUGGAUCCGCGCCGCAUUAGCUAGUUGGUAAGGUAACGGCUUACCAAGGCAACGAUGCGUAGCCGACCUGAGAGGGUGAUCGGCCACACUGGAACUGAGACACGGUCCAGACUCCUACGGGAGGCAGCAGUAGGGAAGCUUCCGCAAUGGGCGAAAGCCUGACGGAGCAACGCCGCGUGAGUGAAGAAGGUCUUCGGAUCGUAAAACUCUGUUAUUAGGGAAGAACAAAUGUGUAAGUAACUAUGCACGUCUUGACGGUACCUAAUCAGAAAGCCACGGCUAACUACGUG